UAAAAAAGGCAGUGAAGCAAAGCACUGCCAAAAUGCAUUGUAUUACCAGAACAUUGUCACAGCAUUGCCUUAUAAUGGGAAUUGACAUCUGAGCCAAAGCACUAUGAUUUUCUUCAAUAAUACAUUGCCAUAAGUACUUCUCCCUGCGGAGGAGCUGCAUCUCCAUGAUCCCAUGACAAAGGAGAGAGUCUGGCACAUAGACAGUGUCAUCCCGUCUCUGAAUCACAUGGACCCUUUUAACUAGCAGUAAAAAAAAAAAAAAAAAGAAAAAGAAAAAAAAAGCUGAAUUUCUUUGAUUUUCUUCUUUUUAGGUGUGGGGCACAGCUGUCCAGACUGUAGGCAACAACCACUUGCUCUGAUGUGCCAUCCCACGCAGCAGGGAAACCAAGCAUGGCCAUGGGCACACAACUUCUCUCCUUCACUUGGAGCUUUGUCUCGUGCACAGGGAGCACCAGUGUGUGUCUGUGCUGUCGUGAACCACUCGCUCAUGACGCUGGUCAGACACAAGCACUGCAGAACAGCUUGGCAAUGAGUUGUCUUACAUUGAGAGGUGGAACCGUCUGGCACAGACCCAGGGUUUUACAGCAGGGCACAGUCUCAGCAUGAGCCAUCUCCUCACGGUAAACUGCAGACUUGUCUCCCCGGGACUCUAGGCAGGCCUGGGUAGGAUGGUGUGCCUAAGACAAGCGUGAAAUGGAACAGCUUGCAACUUUCCACUCAUUCCUCUCCUUACGAGAAACAAUUUCAUUCUGGAACAAUGAAAGUCAAGACGAAAACAAACAUGAAAAAUACACAGUGUCAAAGUCAAGCACUCAGCAAUGUCAAUACUCCCAAGCUGCAGUGAUCCUGGUACUCUUCUGAUUUGUUUUAUGUCACUGGAUUUCUACUGAUUUUCAUGUCAUUAACCCUGAUUUAUAGCACUAAGGUAGGGACAGGGAAUGGCAUUAUUACUUUGUAAUAUCAGGCUGCUCAGUGCAUUCUCACUUGUAAUUAUGUUUUUAGAAGCAAGUUAAAGUUUCCUAUUAUAUCCACAGCAAGAUCUAUUUAAGAGAUAGCAAUUGCGCAUCCCAAAACUAUUUAUACCACUGAGGAGUGAAUCAGGUUAGGAAAAAAAUUAGAGAAGAUCUCUCUCUCUCUUCAUCCCUCACAACUUCCAGAGAGGCUAUUUUUCAGGUUGUAGCAAUGCAGAGUGCUUGCUUAUUUUGUUUACACUUACCAAAGUUCCUUGCUUUUGGUCAGCAGUGCAAUGCUGAAAUGUGGUGCCUUGGGGCCUGAUAUCCCACCUGCCUCUCAGAAACAGAGUGGACCUAUUCUUACCUGUUUUACAGGUAAAAUUUUCACUUUUUCCAUCCAUUGGAACCCAGCAUCAGAGCAGAAGCAGAUGAAGCAGAAAAGAGUGUGGGUUUGUGUAUUUUUUUUUUUAAUUCUGUGAGAAUUCCUGCUGACAGAGGAUCAGGUGGAGAGUGCGGCCUGGUGUUCCCUAUACCUGAUAAAGCUGUGUUGGAAAGGCUGUUCCACAUGAUCUUGAAAGUAACUCAAUCUCACCAGAGCUCCAAAUAACUAGUUUGCUGAUGGGAAAAAAGAGUUAUGUGAUUUCUCCGAUAACUUUUUGAGGUUUCUUAUUUUUUACUUUUUUAUUUUUUUCCUGGAGAAAUAAAUUUAGAAAGUUAAUGUUAUCUGCUGUUUUU
RNAcentral lists this long non-coding RNA (1688 nucleotides) under Anser cygnoides (Swan goose). Its description in RNAcentral is "lncRNA (ENSACDG00005005640.1)". Lineage: Eukaryota; Metazoa; Chordata; Aves; Anseriformes; Anatidae. The record is from RNAcentral.